Long non-coding RNA from Lontra canadensis (Northern American river otter), 449 nucleotides. RefSeq lists it as uncharacterized. NCBI's taxonomy places the organism in Eukaryota, Metazoa, Chordata, Mammalia, Carnivora, Mustelidae. The record is from RefSeq and is a predicted model, not a curated record. The transcript has 3 exons.
CCCCAAGAGCUAACCACUCCGGGCUGGUUUGCGACCGGAAUAUAACUCGGUUCCGAUUUAGGCUUGUGCGGUCCUAGACUAAUCUGCAGGAUUUUAGUCUGCAGAGUUCCUUAUUAUUCAUUUUUGCUUAGACCAACACGAAGAAUCAUCGGCCACAAUGAAGAUGGCGGCAGCCGCUUUACCGUGGUAACGGGGAAGUCAUUUGCUAACAACCUUGGCCCUUACAUUUUAGUUCCUCCCUAUGAGGGAAGGGAAGUGCUUGGUCCCGCCCCAGCGGCGUGCCGAACCAGAACUCUGGGAAACUAUUGCAGUGAUGUGUGGAAUCCAGGGUUUAGCAAAACAAAGGUGGAUAUCACUUGUACCACACUAAAACUCCAACAGUGUGCUGCUGGGUGAACAGGGCUGGACAGAACAUGCAGAAAACCAGUGCUGAGAUUAUGCUGAAUGAA